AUGUUAUAUGAUAAGAAAGAAGGGUAGUACUUCCUUUGAUAAAGGUGUGAGAGAUCCCAAUGGCAUUUACAACACAUAUAUGGUUAAAGCAUUGCCACCUAUUCUGUGGCACCUAACCAUGCUCAACU
Molecule: small nuclear RNA, 128 nt
Organism: Dromiciops gliroides (monito del monte)
Lineage: Eukaryota; Metazoa; Chordata; Mammalia; Microbiotheria; Microbiotheriidae
Source: RefSeq, a predicted model, not a curated record